UACGAAGGGGGCUAGCGUUGCUCGGAAUCACUGGGCGUAAAGGGUGCGUAGGCGGGUCCUUAAGUCAGGGGUGAAAUCCUGGAGCUCAACUCCAGAACUGCCUUUGAUACUGAGGAUCUUGAGUUCGGGAGAGGUGAGUGGAACUGCGAGUGUAGAGGUGAAAUUCGUAGAUAUUCGCAAGAACACCAGUGGCGAAGGCGAUCACCUGGGGUUGUUCUGACGCUGAGGAGCGAAAGCUAGGGGAGCAAACGGG
This 253-nucleotide ribosomal RNA is filed under the name uncultured bacterium. Its description in RNAcentral is "partial 16S ribosomal RNA". It matches the Rfam family "Bacterial small subunit ribosomal RNA", at positions 524 to 776 of the family's 1533-position model. The record is from RNAcentral.